This 229-nucleotide ribosomal RNA is filed under the name uncultured bacterium. RNAcentral describes it as "partial 16S ribosomal RNA". It matches the Rfam family "Bacterial small subunit ribosomal RNA", at positions 568 to 796 of the family's 1533-position model. The record is from RNAcentral.
UGUGUAGGCGGAAUGGUCAGCGUCUUGUGAAAUCCCUCGGCUCAACCGAGGAAUUGCUCGGCGAACUGCCAUUCUUGAGGCAGGUAGGGGUCAGUGGAACUGUUGGUGGAGCGGUGGAAUGCGUAGAUAUCAACAGGAACGCCGGUGGAGAAAUCGGCUGACUGGGCCUGUCCUGACGCUGAGACACGAAAGCGUGGGGAGCGAACAGGAUUAGAUACCCUGGUAGUCC